This 27-nucleotide non-coding RNA is filed under the name Rattus norvegicus (Norway rat). The record is from RNAcentral. Lineage: Eukaryota; Metazoa; Chordata; Mammalia; Rodentia; Muridae.
UGACAAAAUAAAUGUCCCCAGUGGUCC